This 223-nucleotide long non-coding RNA is filed under the name Elaeis guineensis (African oil palm). RNAcentral describes it as "long non-coding RNA (EGUI_LNC074062)". Lineage: Eukaryota; Viridiplantae; Streptophyta; Magnoliopsida; Arecales; Arecaceae. The record is from RNAcentral.
AUCCGAUCCAUCUUAUCUAUUUGACCCGUUUUUCCACUUGAGUUGAUCCUAUCCGAGCCAAGAUGGGUAUGAAAUAAAUAUAAAUAUAAAACUUUUAAUUAUAAGAAUCAAGCUGGAUAUGUAUUGACCGACCUGAUCUCUUGCCAUCCCUGUCGAGCCCUUUCAUGACUUCACUAGUUUUGGUGCAACGUGCCUAGUUUUGGACCAUCGGACAAGCUCACGG